This is a non-coding RNA of Taenia asiatica, 72 nucleotides long. The record is from Rfam. NCBI's taxonomy places the organism in Eukaryota, Metazoa, Platyhelminthes, Cestoda, Cyclophyllidea, Taeniidae.
GGCUCAGUGGUCUAGGGGUAUGAUUCGCGCUUCGGGUGCGCGAGGUCCCGGGUUUGAAUCCCGGCUGAGCCC